UCUAUAGACUGGACAAAAGCCGAUAGCUGCUGGGAAGAAGGAGGACUCUUGGACUUCUUUCUAAUUGAGCAGUGGGGUCUCUGCUUCCUCCCACUAGAAAUUCAACUGGUCUCCAAAGAAAGAACAAGUCACCCAUUGCUAACCAAGACAGAAGAGAAUGCAGCUCUUGCUGCAUUUCCUGAAUUUGAAGAUAAUUUUGCUGUCAAGGCCACGAAGGUGCCAUGGAGGCGUCACUUCCAAAGCUGAGAAUUUCAGCUCCUCUGGAACUAAGCCCAGGUGGCAGGCGGGGUAGUGAGAACUCACACCCCCUUGUUUUCUGCACCCCCAGAAACUUUCAACAGACAUUCCAGCUCAUCUCAGAUAACUGAUCUCACGAAGUGCCUCCAUCAUCCUCUGAGAAGAAGCAUCAGACAUGACAGCUGCCUUUAUCUCCAGAUGGCAGGCCGUCUUGUAGUUCCAAAGCAGUGAUCAUCACCAAGCCAUACCCCUGGGUGGGACAUGAGUGGAGAAUGGAAACAGCAGAGUGUACAGACAUCUGUGGUAUGCAGACCAAUGUGGGUGUCUGAAAGCACUUGGGGAUGAGACAAGGGCUUGGAGGCUGAACUGAGGCUGGGCUUCAAGCAAUAUGGCAGCACCCAGGGCCUGGUGGAAAAGAAAGCUGCAGCAGAAUGAUUUCUGAUCCAGCACAUGCCAUUACAAAUGUCCCAAGAACCAGAGACCUGGAUGUUAAGCUAGCAAAGAGCUGUUUUAGCCAAAAGAAAGAAUGGCCACCCUGAUUUUUACAAGUGAAUGAAGUGUGAAAAGAUACUAACCCCUAUUCAAACUCUCCAUGAAACCAACUGAUGUGAGUAAAGUAUUUUUUUUUUAGUAAAGUAGGGGUGAAAACAUCCACAUUAUCUAAGCCAGGAUGCAGCAAACAUUUCAUAAACUGAAAACAAUUCGUCAAAUAUACUACAGAUGGGAAUUGAUAAAAGGCACUUUUUAAAGCCUGAAUCACACACAGGGACUCUUUCUGAGAUUUCAGUGUACAGCUCCAAGAGAGUGCUAAGUAACUUAAGAAAGCUCAACAAGCACAUGCCAAACAACUUAUUAACAAGAACAGAAGGACCAAAGGUACAAUUGAGAGACUGUGAAGAUAUGCAGUACUUAGUCAAGAAUUCAGCAGAUGGGAAGGAAUCCAGAACAUACACUCAGUCUCUGGGUUCCACAGAGGAAAAUGUUUCUCAUGUCUUCACACCAGAAUAGAAGCAAAGACUGAGAUAAUGUUUCCCUUCCAUCAUCGACAGGUCCACCAAGCCCCGAAUC
Long non-coding RNA from Prionailurus viverrinus (fishing cat), 1305 nucleotides. RefSeq lists it as uncharacterized. The transcript is spliced from 3 exons. The record is from RefSeq and is a predicted model, not a curated record. NCBI's taxonomy places the organism in Eukaryota, Metazoa, Chordata, Mammalia, Carnivora, Felidae.